AUGCCCUGGCAGUCAGAGGCGAUGAAGGACGUGCUAAUCUGCGAUAAGCGUCGGUAAGGUGAUAUGAACCGUUAUAACCGGCGAUUUCCGAAUGGGGAAACCCAGUGUGAUUCGUCACACUAUCAUUAACUGAAUCCAUAGGUUAAUGAGGCGAACCGGGGGAACUGAAACAUCUAAGUACCCCGAGGAAAAGAAAUCAACCGAGAUUCCCCCAGUAGCGGCGAGCGAACGGGGAGGAGCCCAGAGCCUGAAUCAGUGUGUGUGUUAGUGGAAGCGUCUGGAAAGGCGCGCGAUACAGGGUGACAGCCCCGUACACAAAAAUGCACAUGCUGUGAGCUCGAUGAGUAGGGCGGGACACGUGGUAUCCUGUCUGAAUAUGGGGGGACCAUCCUCCAAGGCUAAAUACUCCUGACUGACCGAUAGUGAACCAGUACCGUGAGGGAAAGGCGAAAAGAACCCCGGCGAGGGGAGUGAAAAAGAACCUGAAACCGUGUACGUACAAGCAGUGGGAGCCUCUUUAUGGGGUGACUGCGUACCUUUUGUAUAAUGGGUCAGCGACUUAUAUUCUGUAGCAAGGUUAACCGAAUAGGGGAGCCGAAGGGAAACCGAGUCUUAACUGGGCGUUAAGUUGCAGGGUAUAGACCCGAAACCCGGUGAUCUAGCCAUGGGCAGGUUGAAGGUUGGGUAACACUAACUGGAGGACCGAACCGACUAAUGUUGAAAAAUUAGCGGAUGACUUGUGGCUGGGGGUGAAAGGCCAAUCAAACCGGGAGAUAGCUGGUUCUCCCCGAAAGCUAUUUAGGUAGCGCCUCGUGAAUUCAUCUCCGGGGGUAGAGCACUGUUUCGGCAAGGGGGUCAUCCCGACUUACCAACCCGAUGCAAACUGCGAAUACCGGAGAAUGUUAUCACGGGAGACACACGGCGGGUGCUAACGUCCGUCGUGAAGAGGGAAACAACCCAGACCGCCAGCUAAGGUCCCAAAGUCAUGGUUAAGUGGGAAACGAUGUGGGAAGGCCCAGACAGCCAGGAUGUUGGCUUAGAAGCAGCCAUCAUUUAAAGAAAGCGUAAUAGCUCACUGGUCGAGUCGGCCUGCGCGGAAGAUGUAACGGGGCUAAACCAUGCACCGAAGCUGCGGCAGCGACACUAUGUGUUGUUGGGUAGGGGAGCGUUCUGUAAGCCUGUGAAGGUGUGCUGUGAGGCAUGCUGGAGGUAUCAGAAGUGCGAAUGCUGACAUAAGUAACGAUAAAGCGGGUGAAAAGCCCGCUCGCCGGAAGACCAAGGGUUCCUGUCCAACGUUAAUCGGGGCAGGGUGAGUCGACCCCUAAGGCGAGGCCGAAAGGCGUAGUCGAUGGGAAACAGGUUAAUAUUCCUGUACUUGGUGUUACUGCGAAGGGGGGACGGAGAAGGCUAUGUUGGCCGGGCGACGGUUGUCCCGGUUUAAGCGUGUAGGCUGGUUUUCCAGGCAAAUCCGGAAAAUCAAGGCUGAGGCGUGAUGACGAGGCACUACGGUGCUGAAGCAACAAAUGCCCUGCUUCCAGGAAAAGCCUCUAAGCAUCAGGUAACAUCAAAUCGUACCCCAAACCGACACAGGUGGUCAGGUAGAGAAUACCAAGGCGCUUGAGAGAACUCGGGUGAAGGAACUAGGCAAAAUGGUGCCGUAACUUCGGGAGAAGGCACGCUGAUAUGUAGGUGAAGUCCCUCGCGGAUGGAGCUGAAAUCAGUCGAAGAUACCAGCUGGCUGCAACUGUUUAUUAAAAACACAGCACUGUGCAAACACGAAAGUGGACGUAUACGGUGUGACGCCUGCCCGGUGCCGGAAGGUUAAUUGAUGGGGUCAGCGCAAGCGAAGCUCUUGAUCGAAGCCCCGGUAAACGGCGGCCGUAACUAUAACGGUCCUAAGGUAGCGAAAUUCCUUGUCGGGUAAGUUCCGACCUGCACGAAUGGCGUAAUGAUGGCCAGGCUGUCUCCACCCGAGACUCAGUGAAAUUGAACUCGCUGUGAAGAUGCAGUGUACCCGCGGCAAGACGGAAAGACCCCGUGAACCUUUACUAUAGCUUGACACUGAACAUUGAGCCUUGAUGUGUAGGAUAGGUGGGAGGCUUUGAAGUGUGGACGCCAGUCUGCAUGGAGCCGACCUUGAAAUACCACCCUUUAAUGUUUGAUGUUCUAACGUUGACCCGUAAUCCGGGUUGCGGACAGUGUCUGGUGGGUAGUUUGACUGGGGCGGUCUCCUCCUAAAGAGUAACGGAGGAGCACGAAGGUUGGCUAAUCCUGGUCGGACAUCAGGAGGUUAGUGCAAUGGCAUAAGCCAGCUUGACUGCGAGCGUGACGGCGCGAGCAGGUGCGAAAGCAGGUCAUAGUGAUCCGGUGGUUCUGAAUGGAAGGGCCAUCGCUCAACGGAUAAAAGGUACUCCGGGGAUAACAGGCUGAUACCGCCCAAGAGUUCAUAUCGACGGCGGUGUUUGGCACCUCGAUGUCGGCUCAUCACAUCCUGGGGCUGAAGUAGGUCCCAAGGGUAUGGCUGUUCGCCAUUUAAAGUGGUACGCGAGCUGGGUUUAGAACGUCGUGAGACAGUUCGGUCCCUAUCUGCCGUGGGCGCUGGAGAACUGAGGGGGGCUGCUCCUAGUACGAGAGGACCGGAGUGGACGCAUCACUGGUGUUCGGGUUGUCAUGCCAAUGGCACUGCCCGGUAGCUAAAUGCGGAAGAGAUAAGUGCUGAAAGCAUCUAAGCACGAAACUUGCCCCGAGAUGAGUUCUCCCUGACUCCUUGAGAGUCCUGAAGGAACGUUGAAGACGACGACGUUGAUAGGC
RNAcentral lists this ribosomal RNA (2811 nucleotides) under Escherichia coli. Its description in RNAcentral is "partial 23S ribosomal RNA". It matches the Rfam family "Bacterial large subunit ribosomal RNA". Lineage: Bacteria; Pseudomonadati; Pseudomonadota; Gammaproteobacteria; Enterobacterales; Enterobacteriaceae. The record is from RNAcentral.